Molecule: non-coding RNA, 936 nt
Filed under: Leptotyphlops distanti
Lineage: Eukaryota; Metazoa; Chordata; Lepidosauria; Squamata; Leptotyphlopidae
Description: partial 12S ribosomal RNA
Rfam family: Bacterial small subunit ribosomal RNA
Source: RNAcentral
UCAAGCCCAAGAACAAAAGUCUUGGUCCUGAACCUACCACUACCUAUCCCCAAAACUAUACAUGCAAGCCUCAACGCAACAGUGAGUAACCCACCAAAUCAUAAAGGAAAAAACGGAGUACAUAUAAGAUUAUGGAGCCCCAAUCAAAACAAAGGGGAAACCCCACACCUACACAGGUACACAGCAGUAAUAAACAUUGGGCCAUAAGCGAAAGCUUGACCCAGUUAUGAGGAAAUAAAGCCGGUAAAACUCGUGCCAGCUACCGCGGUUAUACGAGAGGCUUAAGAUAGUCCCACUGCGGCGAAAACAUGACCAGAGCACAUCAAAAGCCUAAGAAGAAAGGAAAAGCAAGCCGUCCAACGCUAAGAACAAACGAAAUCCCACACCUUAACACCCGAACCCUUGAACCAUAAAAGCCGGGGAACAAACUAGGAUUAGACACCCUACUAUGCCCGGCCGUAAAAGGCACUGCCCGCCAGAUAAGUACGAGCGAAAGCUUAAAACUCAAAGGACUUGACGGCACCCCACAUCAACCUAGAGGAGCCUGUCCUAUAAUCGACAACCCACGCUAAAACCUCACCGCCCCUAGCCAACCAGUCUAUAUACCGCCGUCGUCAGUUCACCCUGCAAAAGAACAAAAGUGAGCGAAAUAGUUAUUACACUAAAACGACAGGUCAAAGCGUAGCACACGGGGCGGGCUGAGAUGGGCUACAUUUUCUAAAAUAGACCACACCAAAAAGCGCAUGAAAAACGCCGAACAGGUGGAUUUAGCAGUAAGGCGGAAUAGAAAGCCCGUCUGAACACAGCACCGGGGCGCGCACACACCGCCCGUCACCCCCCUCUACUAGCAACCAAACCCGUUCAUAAAAUCAACGCAUUAUUAAAGAUGGGGAAAGUCGUAACAAGGUGAGCGUACUGGAAGGUGCGCUCGUACAC